UUUUCAAAUACUGGGAUUAGACCCCACUAUGCCUAACCGUAAACAAUUAACUCACACCAACCAACGCCAGGGAAUUACGAGCUAUGCUUAAAACCCAAAGGACUUGACGGUGUCCCACCCACCUAGAGGAGCCUGUUCUAUAAUCGAUGAUCCCCGAUACACCUAACCAUUCCUCGCCCAUCAGUCUGUAUACCUCCGUCGAAAGCCUACCAUGUGAACGCUUACAGUAGGCCCAAUGAUCCUCAUCAACACGUCAGGUCAAGGUGCAGCUUACGGAAUGGAAAGCAAUGGGCUACAAUUUCUAGUUUAGAACAAACGAAAGACUCUGUGAAACCUUAGUCACGAAGGCGGAUUUAGUAGUAAAAGGAAAAUAGAGUGUCCUUUAACCUGCUCUGC
Molecule: ribosomal RNA, 396 nt
Filed under: Pelophylax nigromaculatus (dark-spotted frog)
Lineage: Eukaryota; Metazoa; Chordata; Amphibia; Anura; Ranidae
Description: partial 12S ribosomal RNA
Rfam family: Bacterial small subunit ribosomal RNA
Source: RNAcentral